AGCAGCCGCGGUAAUUCCAGCUCCAAUAGCGUAUAUUAAAGUUGUUGCAGUUAAAAAGCUCGUAGUUGAAUUCCGGGGUCUGUCCAUUGGUCGGGCUUCACGGUCCGUACUGGUGUGAUGGGUUCCUACCUUCUGAAUAACCAGCAUGCCAUUCAGUUGGUGCGUUGGGGAAGCAGAGCUAUUACCUUGAAAAAAUUAGAGUGCUUAAAGCAGGCUAGUGCUUGAAUAGAUUAGCAUGGAAUAAUAAAAUAGGACGGCAUGGUUCUAUUUUGUUGGUUUCUAGGAUCACCGUAAUGAUUAAUAGGGAUAGUUGGGGGCAUUAGUAUUCAAUUGUCAGAGGUGAAAUUCUUGGAUUUAUUGAAGACUAACUUCUGCGAAAGCAUUUGCCAAGGAUGUUUUCAUUAAUCAAGAACGAAAGUUAGGGGAUCGAAGACGAUCAGAUACCGUCGUAGUCUUAACCAUAAACUAUGCCGACUAGGGAUCGGACGAUGUUAAUUUUUUAAUGACUCG
Molecule: ribosomal RNA, 510 nt
Filed under: uncultured Glomeromycotina
Lineage: Eukaryota; Fungi; Glomeromycota
Description: SSU rRNA
Rfam family: Eukaryotic small subunit ribosomal RNA
Source: RNAcentral